This 74-nucleotide transfer RNA is filed under the name Candidatus Zixiibacteriota bacterium. RNAcentral describes it as "candidate division Zixibacteria bacterium tRNA-Arg". It matches the Rfam family "tRNA". Rfam says of the family: Transfer RNA (tRNA) molecules are approximately 80 nucleotides in length. Their secondary structure includes four short double-helical elements and three loops (D, anti-codon, and T loops). Lineage: Bacteria; Pseudomonadati; Candidatus Zixiibacteriota. The record is from RNAcentral. RNAcentral also lists the same sequence under 1 other name.
GCGCCCAUAGCUUAAUUGGAUAGAGCGUCUGGCUACGGACCAGAAGGUUGGGGGUUCGAGUCCUCCUGGGCGUA